AUUGAACGCUGGCGGCAUGCCUUACACAUGCAAGUCGAACGGUAACAGGUCUUCGGAUGCUGACGAGUGGCGAACGGGUGAGUAAUACAUCGGAACGUGCCCGAUCGUGGGGGAUAACGAAGCGAAAGCUUUGCUAAUACCGCAUACGAUCUACGGAUGAAAGCAGGGGACCGCAAGGCCUUGCGCGAACGGAGAGGCCGAUGGCAGAUUAGGUAGUUGGUGGGAUAAAAGCUUACCAAGCCGACGAUCUGUAGCUGGUCUGAGAGGACGACCAGCCACACUGGGACUGAGACACGGCCCAGACUCCUACGGGAGGCAGCAGUGGGGAAUUUUGGACAAUGGGCGAAAGCCUGAUCCAGCCAUGCCGCGUGCAGGAUGAAGGCCUUCGGGUUGUAAACUGCUUUUGUACGGAACGAAAAGACUCUGGUUAAUACCUGGGGUCCAUGACGGUACCGUAAGAAUAAGCACCGGCUAACUACGUG
Molecule: ribosomal RNA, 482 nt
Filed under: uncultured bacterium
Lineage: Bacteria
Description: partial 16S ribosomal RNA
Rfam family: Bacterial small subunit ribosomal RNA
Source: RNAcentral